This is an RNA transcript of Zingiber officinale, 2337 nucleotides long. It is a transcript of the gene named poly(A)-specific ribonuclease PARN-like, with no coding region annotated. Lineage: Eukaryota; Viridiplantae; Streptophyta; Magnoliopsida; Zingiberales; Zingiberaceae. The record is from RefSeq and is a predicted model, not a curated record. The transcript is spliced from 4 exons.
UUCUGAUUUCGAAGUGGUCAUGGCAGGUUAAGACAUGCGGAAUCUGCCAUUUGUUUGGGUGUGCUACCGAUCCUAACCCUAGGUCUGCUGCCUCGCCUCCGUCCCUUCUCCACCGAUGCGCCCGGUGGCUGCAGCGUGGCCGUGAUGCAGGUGACGAGGUCCAAUUUCAACGCGGCGCUGGAGGGCCUUAGGGCUUGCGUAGAGGAGUCGGACUUCGUGGCCGUUGACCUUGAGAUGACCGGCGUGACGAGUGCCCUAUGGAGGGACUCGUUCGAGUUCGACCGAUCCGAUGUCCGUUACCUUAAGCUGAAGGACUCCGCUGAGAAGUUCACUGUCGUGCAGUUCGGUGUCUGCCCCUUCCGCUUGGAUUCAUCCAAGGGCUCCUUCGCCCAUCCGCAUAACUUCUAUAUCUUUCCACGGAAUGAGUUGCCACUUCAUGGGCCACCUGAUGAUUUCCUAUGGCAAGUAACAUCCAUCGACUUCCUUGCUAAAUGCCAAUUUGACUUCAAUGCAUGCAUAUAUGAAGAAAGAUGUCCUUGAAGAUCUGAGAAAAAAUGCAGAAAAAAGAAUCAAGUCUUCUGUUGGAUUUCGGCAUGUUGUUGAUCUUCUUGCAUCAACAGGAAAAUUGAUUGUUGGUCAUAAUUGUCUUCUAGAUUUAGCUCAUAUAUACAACAAAUUUUUUGGUCCUCUUCCUUCAUCUUUGACGGAAUUUGUGCAAGCUGUCCAUGAAAAAUUCCCCCACAUUGUUGACACUAAGCACCUUUUGAACUCAAACCAGACAAUUCAGCAUUUGAUGAAAAAGAAUAGCAAGUCAUUGUCUUCUGCCUUCUCUCUUUUAUGCCCCAACGUAUCAUCUAAUUUCCAGACCACUUCCAAGUCUUACUUGAGAUUUGAGGUCCAAACAGAUGAAAUUAGGUAAGCUUUCAUAAUUCAAUCAUUUUAUUCAUUUGUUUCUGCAUCAGGAAAUAACAAACUAAACAUGAUCAUUCGUUAUUUUUUGACUUUGUUGGGUUGGAAAUUUUCUCAUACUAUUUUAAACUCUCAAGUGUAAAUCUGUUGCUAUUAUAUGGUUAAUCUAUCUGCAGCAGUUGUAGUAACUAUUAAAAAGGAUUUACUUUGAACCCUUUUCUUUUAUUUUUUAUUCACAAGAAUUUCUUUUGUCAUUUUCCCUUUUUUUCGUAACAUUUGUACUCUUUGCAUUCUCAUUUCAAUGUUUAGUGUUUAUUGUAUUUUAGGUUGUUACAUAUUGUUUCCUUAUAGCCAUAAUGUUCUAACUAAUUUAUAGAUGAGAAUGAGUUUAUCUAGAGGUAAUCAAGUUAUCCAAGAAUGAUCCGUAAUUAUUUAAUUAGGUAAUUCUACUUUUCCAUAUUCUAUUGUGACUUAUGUUUCACUCGUUAGUAUCAUGCAGGAUACCAAGAGCAAACGUUGCAUUAGCCACAACAACAAAGAGUAAAUGUUGGAUUCAAAACCAUCUUUUAAUCUUUUGCUUGGUUCUAUUUGCUUACUAUCUUCUAUAGUUUUGUUUAUUAAUAUUAUAGGAUUAUUUCUUAGCAAUAUUUAUAGUUCAUGUGGUAUUAUGUUGAUAGAUAUUAAGCUUUUUUAGUUUGUGAUUUAAAUUAAUCAAUGUGUAGUAAGAAGACUAUCAAGUCUUUUCUAUUAUCUUGUAUUUGAUUUUGUUAUAUGUACUUAGAGAUUCUAUGUUUAAGAUUCAAAUUCAAAGAAAAUCCUACUUAAGUAUUUGUUCACACUGACAUAAUUUUUAUGGUUUUAUGAUGCCUAUUAUUUCAGAGCCAAAAGAGUCUUCAUGACUUGUUAAUUCUUUAGCAUUGACAACUAUGGACUAAUUAGUGGGUGAUCAUUGAUAUUGAUUAUGACUUUUGCACAAUUUUAAUUUAUUUGCAUUAAAAAUUUUGAUAUUGCAAGACUUACUCAUUUCAUGUUUUGAUUUGUUAGAUUCUCUCAACAAAAGUGGUUGGUUCAUUAAUUUGUACAAGAGAAACAAUUUAUCUCAUGAAAUUCGAAGACAGGGAGGGCAAAAAGAAGAAAUUGAAGGCAUGCAUGCUAUUAGCUCAAGGAUGGAGGAACAAAUUAUUGAAAGGAAAAAAAACUUGUUAUUACAUAAAGUAUAGGCAGAGGAAAGAAAAUCAUAUUGAGGAAGGUAGGCAAAGAGAAGAAAAUCUCAAGGAGAUGAUUCGGAAAUGAUUCAAGAAAUAGAAUAUACAAAUCAUUUAUAUCUAGGAGAAUUUGGUCUUUAUAGUUUGAUUAUUGGUCAAAUUUCUUUGGAUAAUGUAAAUAUUUAUUUAUUUUAAUGUUAAUUGUAUAAUACAUUUGGAAUUA